Molecule: long non-coding RNA, 89 nt
Organism: Cucurbita maxima (winter squash)
Lineage: Eukaryota; Viridiplantae; Streptophyta; Magnoliopsida; Cucurbitales; Cucurbitaceae
Exons: 2
Source: RefSeq, a predicted model, not a curated record
AGCUCUCAUGACUUUACUUUUGGUUUCCCCAAAACGCCUCAUAUCAAUGGAGAAUAAUAUUCAUUGAUUAUAAACCUAUAAUCAUUUCC